CACGGAUCCGAAUGGACCGUCUGUGUAGGUCUUCUUCUCGGAACUGUCGCAUUUCCCAGCAGUGUGCGUCAACGGCUGUUGGAACCGGGUGAUAAGCUCCGCAAGAAGGUAGCUGGCUUCCCGCUGGUGUUAUAGCUUGUGGCGUGCAAGCCCGGAUCCCACAGAGGAGUCGCGGCACAUGCUCUUUACUGGGCUGGCCUCUCCUUUNCUCAGCUCGUUUUCNACCAUAGUGGACUGCACGCAGUGCACUUGAACCGAGGCGGACUGUCGGAAGGAUGAGUGCACACACUGUGCCAAGGUGGUUGGCGGUCAUAUGAUUUCAUACGACCCGUCUUGAAACACGGACCAAGGAGUCUAACAUGUGUGCGAGUCUUANGGUGAUCGAAACCCGCAGGCAUAAUGAAAGUAAAGGCUGCUUGCAGCUGAAGUGAGAUCUCUUCCUAACGGGGGAGCGCAUCAUUGACCGACCUAUUCUACUCCUAGAAAGGUUUGAGUAAGAGCAUAUCUGUUGGGACCCGAAAGAUGGUGAACUAUGCUUGAGUAGGGCGAAACCAGAGGAAACUCUGGUGGAGGCUCGUAGCGAUUCUGACGUGCAAAUCGAUCGUCAAAUUUGAGUAUAGGGGCGAAAGACUAAUCGAACCAUCUAGUAGCUGGUUCCCUCCGAAGUUUCCCUUAGGAUAGCUGGAACUCGGAACAGUUUUAUCAGGUAAAGCGAAUGAUUAGAGGUCUUAGGGUUGAAACAACCUUAACCUAUUCUCAAACUUUAAAUUGGUAAGAAGCCCGACUUGCUCAAUUGAAGUAGGGCACAGAAUGAGAGUUCUUAGUGGGCCAUUUUUGGUAAGCAGAACUGGCGAUGCGGGAUGAACCGAACGCUGAGUUAAGGCGCCUAAAUCGACGCUCAUCAGACCCCACAAAAGGUGUUGGUUGAUCUAGACAGCAGGACGGUGGCCAUGGAAGUCGGAAUCCGCUAAGGAGUGUGUAACAACCCACCUGCCGAAUCAAGCAGCCCUGAAAAUGGAUGGCGCUUAAGCGUCGUGCCUAUACUCAGCCGUCAGAGUAAAUAGCGAAGCUCUGACGAGUAGGAGGGCGUGGGGGUCGUGGUGAAGCCUUUGGCGUGAGCCUGGGUGAAACGGCCUCUAGUGCAGAUCUUGGUGGUAGUAGCAAAUAUUCAAAUGAGAACUUUGAAGACCGAAGUGGAGAAAGGUUCCAUGUGAACAGCAGUUGGACAUGGGUUAGUCGAUCCUAAGAGAUAGGGAAACUCCGUUUCAAAGUGCCCAAUCCUGGGCCGUUUAUCGAAAGGGAAUCGGGUUAAUAUUCCCGAACCGGAACGCGGAUAUUCUGGGCCUUCUGGCUCAGAUUUGCGGUAACGCAACUGAACUCGGAGACGUCGGCAAGAGCCCUGGGAAGAGUUCUCUUUUCUUGUUAACGACCUGACACCAUGGAAUCUGAUUGCCAGGAGAUAUGGUCUGAUGGUCGGUAAAGCACCACACUUCUUGUGGUGUCCGGUGCGCUCUUGAAGGCCCUUGAAAAUCCGAGGGAAAGAUUGAUUUUCGCGUCCGUUCGUACUCAUAACCGCAGCAGGUCUCCUAGGUGAGCAGCCUCUGGUCGAUAGAA
This 1614-nucleotide ribosomal RNA is filed under the name Asyncoryne ryniensis. Its description in RNAcentral is "partial large subunit ribosomal RNA". It matches the Rfam family "Eukaryotic large subunit ribosomal RNA", at positions 431 to 1895 of the family's 3401-position model. The record is from RNAcentral. Lineage: Eukaryota; Metazoa; Cnidaria; Hydrozoa; Anthoathecata; Asyncorinidae.